GGAAGUAAAAGUCGUAACAAGGUUUCCGUAGGUGAACCUGCGGAAGGAUCAUUACAACAAGGUUCCCUGGCCCUCGAAGCUUCGGCGGAGGGGGCUACAGCCUGACUUUAUACCCACCCUUUGCCUAUGUGUACCCCUAUUGCUUCCCUCGGCGGGUUCGCCCGCCGACAGGAACCAACUAAACCCUUUGCAUUAUACAUUUAACACUUCCGAUACAAAACUAAAUUAUUACAACUUUUAACAAUGGAUCUCUUGGUUCUGGCAUCGAUGAAGAACGCAGCGAAAUGCGAUAAGUAGUGUGAAUUGCAGAAUUCAGUGAAUCAUCGAAUCUUUGAACGCACAUUGCGCCCCUCGGUAUUCCGUGGGGCAUGCCUGUUCGAGCGUCAUUUACACCCUCAAGCUAUGCUUGGUGUUGGGCGUCUGUCCCGCCUUCGUGCGCGGACUCGCCUCAAAGUCAUUGGCAGCGGUCUCGUCGGCUUCUCGCGCAGCACAUUUGCGCUUCUCGGAGCCCCGGCGGAUCAGCGUCCAGCAAGCGAUUUCAUGACUUGACCUCGGAUCAGGUAGGGAUACCCGCUGAACUUAAGCAUAUCAAUAAGCGGAGGA
RNAcentral lists this ribosomal RNA (603 nucleotides) under Periconia pseudobyssoides. RNAcentral's name for it is "partial 18S ribosomal RNA". The stretch from base 233 to 386 matches the Rfam family "5.8S ribosomal RNA". The record is from RNAcentral. Lineage: Eukaryota; Fungi; Ascomycota; Dothideomycetes; Pleosporales; Periconiaceae.